CCUACGGGAGGCAGCAGUGGGGAAUCUUAGACAAUGGGGGCAACCCUGAUCUAGCCAUGCCGCGUGAGUGAUGAAGGCCUUAGGGUCGUAAAGCUCUUUCGCCUGUGAUGAUAAUGACAGUAGCAGGUAAAGAAACCCCGGCUAACUCCGUGCCAGCAGCCGCGGUAAUACGGAGGGGGUUAGCGUUGUUCGGAAUUACUGGGCGUAAAGCGCGCGUAGGCGGAUUAGAAAGUUGGGGGUGAAAUCCCGGGGCUCAACCCCGGAACUGCCUCCAAAACUGCUAGUCUAGAGUUCGAGAGAGGUGAGUGGAAUUCCGAGUGUAGAGGUGAAAUUCGUAGAUAUUCGGAGGAACACCAGUGGCGAAGGCGGCUCACUGGCUCGAUACUGACGCUGAGGUGCGAAAGUGUGGGGAGCAAACAGGAUUAGAUACCCUGGUAGUCCACACCGUAAACGAUGAAUGCCAGUCGUCGGAUAGUAUACUAUUCGGUGACACACCUAACGGAUUAAGCAUUCCGCCUGGGGAGUACGGUCGCAAGAUUAAAACUCAAAGGAAUGACG
Molecule: ribosomal RNA, 558 nt
Filed under: uncultured bacterium
Lineage: Bacteria
Description: bacterial SSU rRNA
Rfam family: Bacterial small subunit ribosomal RNA
Source: RNAcentral